RNAcentral lists this ribosomal RNA (236 nucleotides) under uncultured Actinomycetales bacterium. RNAcentral's name for it is "partial 16S ribosomal RNA". It matches the Rfam family "Bacterial small subunit ribosomal RNA", at positions 97 to 334 of the family's 1533-position model. Lineage: Bacteria; Bacillati; Actinomycetota; Actinomycetes; Actinomycetales. The record is from RNAcentral.
GGCGAACGGGUGAGUAACACGUGAGUAACCUGCCCUUGACUUUGGGAUAACUUCAGGAAACUGGGGCUAAUACCGGAUAGGAGCUCCUGCUGCAUGGUGGGGGUUGGAAAGUUUCGGCGGUUGGGGAUGGACUCGCGGCUUAUCAGCUUGUUGGUGGGGUAACGGCUUACCAAGGCAACGAUGCGUAGCCGGCCUGAGAGGGUGGACGGCCACAUUGGGACUGAGAUACGGCCCAG